Molecule: transfer RNA, 83 nt
Filed under: Myxococcales bacterium
Lineage: Bacteria; Pseudomonadati; Myxococcota; Myxococcia; Myxococcales
Description: tRNA-Leu
Rfam family: tRNA
About the family: Transfer RNA (tRNA) molecules are approximately 80 nucleotides in length. Their secondary structure includes four short double-helical elements and three loops (D, anti-codon, and T loops).
Source: RNAcentral
GCGAAGGUGGCGGAAUUGGCAGACGCGCCAGAUUUAGGUUCUGGUGCCCGAUGGGUGUGCGGGUUCGAGUCCCGCCCUUCGCA